AACAAGGAUUCCCCUAGUAACGGCGAGUGAACCGGGAAGAGCUCAAAUUUGAAAUCUGGCGUGCUCAGUGCGUCCGAGUUGUAAUCUAUAGAGGCGUUUUCCGUGCCGGACUGUGUCUAAGUCCCUUGGAACAGGGUAUCAAAGAGGGUGAUAAUCCCGUACUUGACACAAUGACCGGUGCUCUGUGAUACGUCUUCUACGAGUCGAGUUGUUUGGGAAUGCAGCUCAAAAUGGGUGGUGAGUUCCAUCUAAAGCUAAAUAUUGGCGAGAGACCGAUAGCGAACAAGUACCGUGAGGGAAAGAUGAAAAGCACUUUGGAAAGAGAGUUAAACAGUACGUGAAAUUGUUGAAAGGGAAACGAUUGAAGUCAGUCGUGACUGAGAGGCUCAGCCGGUUCUGCCGGUGUAUUCCCCUCAGUCGGGUCAACAUCAGUUUUGUUCGGUGGAUAAGGGCAGCUGGAAGGUGGCACCUCCGGGUGUGUUAUAGCCAGCUGUCGCAUACAUCGAAUGAGACUGAGGAAUGCAGCUCGCCUUUAUGGCCGGGGUUCGCCCACGUCCGAGCUUAGGAUGUUGACAUAAGGGCUUUAA
This 587-nucleotide ribosomal RNA is filed under the name Papiliotrema terrestris. RNAcentral's name for it is "eukaryotic LSU rRNA". It matches the Rfam family "Eukaryotic large subunit ribosomal RNA", at positions 67 to 643 of the family's 3401-position model. Lineage: Eukaryota; Fungi; Basidiomycota; Tremellomycetes; Tremellales; Rhynchogastremaceae. The record is from RNAcentral.